AGACUUUAAAACAUAUUUUGAAAAGGGGCAGUGCAAUCUUUAUGAAUACAUUAAUGCUUCAAGCGUUCCUGGGCCUCGUGGGGCAUCAUUCGGCCUUGCCGCUGGCUUGCGUGCUAAAAUCCAUUGGAGGUGGUGGAAAUCUUCCAUCACUUGUUGGAGAAAGGUCAUGACAGUGGCAAAGAACAUGGAUCUUGUCAUAUCCUCGCAUAUCCUCGCAAUUUCCAUCACUUUGUGGUGAUGUAGUCUGCGAUUGCCCGUACCAUUUCCCUAAUAACACCCUUCUCUUGCAACAAACGUCCAAUUUGUUCAUCCCUUCCCUCUAGAGUUCGCUCGGCUUCCUGAUUCAAUUCCUGGAAUUUUCUCAAAUCCAUCUCCAAC
Molecule: long non-coding RNA, 378 nt
Filed under: Nicotiana benthamiana
Lineage: Eukaryota; Viridiplantae; Streptophyta; Magnoliopsida; Solanales; Solanaceae
Description: long non-coding RNA (NBEN_LNC025504)
Source: RNAcentral